CUUUGACCAGAGAUAUGAAGAAUUUUUCUCGACUUCGCGGAGUCGAUAAAUAAUAUACAUAAGCUUACCAGCAUUUUCGAAGACAGUAACUUGGGCUCUAACAGACAGAGGACGAACGGAGGAUGGAUUCGUAGUGAGUUCCGUGAUUCUAACGAAAAGAUCAUGGACACACAUCGAAUUGCUCGCAACGCCUCGAAGAUCUCAAGAAGUCGACCUUUCCUGUCGCAUACCAAUCGGCACGCAGCAGAUACGGCAAGGUGUAUCUAUGCUAACUGUGUGCGUCCAUGUGCGUGUGUGUAAACACAAAUGGAAGAGGGAAAAAAAAAAAAUAACGUGUUCCGAGAGACACGCGACAGUGCCGGCUAAAGCAUCUGUAGUCUCGUUUGGAAUGCGAUAUGAUCGUCGAGCGUCGUCUCGUCGAGCCUCGAGGAUAACGAAUAUAUUUAUCGUGACGGCCGACAAUCGAUUAAUUACGCGGACCUUCGGAGAUCUUGCGUGUCAAAGCUUCUUUCGUCGUAUAGGCGAGCGUAAAAGUCGUAAAUUUGAGGUUAUCGGAUUAGAUGGCUUCUCUUUCGAUCUUCUACGUCACGCACGCCCUCUGCAACUAAAUAUGGAGGAGAAAACUGAGAAGUAGCGCGCGAAUAAAUUUGAAUGAAUGAAGUUAAGGAGAAAAAAGACGAAGGCGAAAAGUAAAAAAAGGUAGACGAGGACGAAACGAAAAAAAAGAAAAGGUAAAAUUAUAAAUAUGAAAUGAACGAAAUACUCCCAACGAUCAAGUAAUCAAUCGAUAAUAUUAAUAUACUUUCUAUAAAAUUGUGAUGAUACAUACGAAUUGAGACGUAUAAUAUAUGUUUUAUCAAUUAAAUCCUCUCGUAAUUGAAAAAGAACGUUAGAGGUUAGGAUAUCUAUGGAUUUUUGUUAGUAACGAAUAAUGUGUGCGUUCGAGGGAAUGGAAGAAGAGAAUAAGAGAAACAAAGAUAGAAAGAAAGAAAGGAAAAGAGAGAAAGCAAAGCACGCGUUCUCAUCGAUCUUAUCCCAUUCGAACGUAUAUCGAGAACAAAGGACGAUUGUGGACGAGGCUUUAAGGAUAUCGACGAGGAGAGAAAGAGACUCGGGCGGAGUAGUAGCAUUGAAGAGAAUAAGUGAGUGACUGACUGAGUGAAAGAGAGAGAGAGAGAGAGAGAGAGAGAGAGAGUGAGAGAGAGGACGAAACGCAAAGCGUCGCGCGAGUGCCAAUGUGUUUUCCCAGUUGGGUCAAACACCCUGAAGCUCUCUCAGAUAAGGUUCCCAACCUUGGCACGGCCAAGCAAAGUAGUAACUGCGUAACCGUAGGUGCCGCACUUACGACACGGCGUGUUGUUGCGGCCGUCGGCGAGUCGGCCGUUCGCAGCACACGACUACGCAAGAAUCGUGCGUGCUGCGAGCCAUUAAAACGCGUCUCUCUCUCUCUCUCUCUCUCUUUUAAACGUAUCGGAUAAAAAGAGAGAGAGAGAGAGAGUACAAGUUGACGAUGUCUUCUCUCCUCAAACUUAAAUCACUCUUACCCCCGCCUAACUCCCUCCUUUCCACUCUCUCUCUCUCUCUUUCUCACUCUCCUUUUCUUUGAUUCAAUCAAACAAACGAAUAGAGAAAUAUUAAUGAAAGCGAUAUUAAAAUUGGCGCCGCCAUUUGGAUAAUUAUUCAAGUUUCUUAAGAAGCGCUUAAUGAUAAAACGUUUGUAAAAGAAUUCUAACCUCCUUGUACCACCCACGAAGCGUAUUCUAUCGACCGAAGGCAUCGUUAAUUACUGUGGCAGGUAAUAAACACGCUUAGACGUGACACGAGCUAAAAGAGAGAGAGAGAGAGAGAGAGAGAGAGGAGAGAGAGAGAGGAGAGAGAGAGAGAGAGAGAGAGAGAGAGAGAGAGAGAGAGAGAGAGAGAGAGAGAAAGAGGAAUCGUGUCCGCGCGCGCGUACUAGCGGGCGCACGCGGGAAAUGCAACGGAGCCGGCUACUAUUAUACAGGUAAAGGUGGAAAAGGCAGUGGCCGGUGCAGCAUCGCGUAUAUAUGUUAAUAUAUAUAUAUACUAUGUAUAUAUAAUUAUGUAUACAUAUAUAUAUAACACAUUCAUAUAUAUAUAUAUAUCAUACACAAUACAUAUAAUAUUAUACGAUUAAUGAUAUAUAUAUAUAUAUACAUGCAUGUUUGUAUAUAUCCACAUAUAUACGAUAUAUGUAUACAUACAUAUGUAUCGUUGUUCAGACGUGACCCUUGUCCUUCAAACGGCCUUUCUACGAGCGUACGGCAGCUCGACUGGGUGUAGGUACGCCAUACGUGUCGCAUACCUAACGAACGCGCGUACCAUGCGACGAGAAAGCCGGCCACCGACGCACCCGUCGUUGACGACGACGACGACGUCGCCGUCGUUUCAACGUAUACUACGUUUAUUCUAUAUUACAUAGGUACGUUGUACACCUACGUACGUAUACAUGUAUGUAUGCGAUGAUCGCCCGAGCGCAACGACCGGCUGCCGGUUCGACAUAACCUACGAUUCUUCUAUACCAGUAACGUAAUCACCGAACCACGAACCACGUCCCCUUUUAUCUUUCUCAAGAAAUAUUUAUUUUAAUGGGAAAAUGUCUAUCGGAAAAUUUUCUUUCUUUUUUUCUUUUUUCCUUUUCUUUUUUUUUCUCUCUCUUUUUUCUUUUUUUUUUUACAAUCGAACGAACGGUUUACAUCGUGCGAUUCUCUUAAUCGUUGCUCGUAUAAUUAUUGUAGAUAUAGGUAUACGACGAGAGGACACAAGCGAUUGACGGAUCGAAAUCGGAUAUAAAGGAAAAAUAUACGAGAGGGAUCUCGAGUUAUGCGAACAGUGGGUACACAUAUAUCCGGACAGUCGGUCCAUCGGUGAGAGUACGCGACGAUUAAAAAUACGCAACGCGCAGCACGCGCCUGAAUAGCGUGGUGCCGGCAAACGACGUAUGCGCACACGCUUGGGUAUGCGUGCGUAUGUAUACGCGUGUGAUCGUGCGUGCGUGCGUAUGUGUAUCUCUCGUUAAAUAGACGAGUGUUCAGCGAUACGAGUAUACCGAAGACGACGAAGACGAAAACGAAGACGACGGAGUUUAGAGGAACGUUGUUUGCCCGUGAUAAGAGGACAAACCGUACUCGGCUAGUGGCGCCUGUAUCGUAGCCAGUGACGGAUCGGGUGAGCUUGAGGCACGGUGCCACGCGUGCCAUCGAGCUCCAAAAAUUGAUUGCCAUCCCACUAUGUGUUGCGCUUUCGAUUCCUCGCGUAACUUCAUUGCAACGUGUGUGGUCCUCGAUUACUAACUCGACGGCCCAAUGAACCGGGACGUAGUAGGCCGUCCCUGUCAGAAUGACCAAUCAUCGUCGAAGAAGUUUCAACCUGUUUAUCUCUCCAAAAAACGGCGUAGAAUUCUACUAUUCCUUCUCGUCAAACAAGCUUCCAGCGGAAGUUUCGAGGAAUGGUUUCGUCGUGCAGCUGCGACGGCCCUGCAUAAUCGACAACGACAACGACGACGGCUACGACGAUGGCUACGACGACGAUGACGACGAUGACGACGAAGACGACGACGAAGAGGAUGAGGACGAGGACGAGGAGAAGAAAGACGAAAGGUGGGAGAAGUAUGAUGGGACAGGUGCGGCUCGUAACUUCCUGGAUGAUAUCGGCCGGUCCGGACGCACGGCCGGCGCUAAGGCUGACGCUUACGUUAACGCUGGCGCCACUUGGAUUCCCGCCGUAGGCGCCUGUCCGACGAAACCUCUUUCCCCUACCUCUCUCUCUCCUCUUCCUCUAGUAUCUCGUGUACCACCCUCCUUCCUUCCUACCUCUCUCUUUCUCUCGCUUUAUCUCUCUUUUCCCCCCCGUACAUACCGCACAUUAGCCCGCCGUAAUUCCUCGAGCGAACUCAGUGCCACCUUACGACGAAACGAAUUUGUGAAUUAAUCCUUAUCCCUUUCCCGCCAUCUUAUGAUAAUGAUGAUCGGUCUAGGUCGGUAAGAUUAAGACAACUAAUAUUUUGAUAAUCAAUUGUAAUCCUUUACUAAAUAAUAAUCAUAAUAUUUCGUUCUUUAUGAAAACGCAUGCAUACGCAAGCUACCAUCAA
Molecule: long non-coding RNA, 4108 nt
Organism: Vespa mandarinia (Asian giant hornet)
Lineage: Eukaryota; Metazoa; Arthropoda; Insecta; Hymenoptera; Vespidae
Source: RefSeq, a predicted model, not a curated record